UAAUGAUCCAUCUACAGGUUCACCUGCAGAAACCUUGUUGGGACUUUCACUUCCUCUAGAUAGCCAAGUUCGACUUCUUCUUAGCACACAACCAGGGCCAUGGGCAGACACCUUCAGGGCCAAUCUGAGGGCCUCACUAAACCAUCCAAUUGGUAGUAGGGACAGGCAGUGUGUACAAAGGACAGGGACAUAAUUACUGCAAGCUUAUGACCCGCACUUACUGCGAAUUCCUCAUACAUGGGGAAUAAUUGCAAUGCCUGAUCUCCAUCAUGAAUGGGGUUCAAUGGGUAACUCACUCCUGCUGGCAUAGAGUAGGCACAGGCUGAGACAGUCAGUGUAGUGUGCAAGCAGCCUCAGACAUCUAAGGGCAUCACAGACCUGUUAUUGCUCAAUCUCAGGUGGCUGAAUGCCACUUGUCCCUAUAAGAACUUGGGGGAUGCUGACUGCUCGGGGAGUCACUUAACUAGUUAGCAUGCCAGAGUCUCCUUCCUUAUUGGAAUUAACCAGACAAAUUGCUCCACCAAAUAAGAAUGGCCAUGCACCACCACCCAUGGAUUCAAGAAAGAGCUAUGAAUCUGUCAAUCCUGUCCAUGUCUGGUCCGGGUGAGGUCUCCUGUAUAGAUCAAAUUAAGCUGAAGGUCCACUCCUAGUGGUGCCCUUCCAUCAAUUCCUUUAAGUUUCAGCUUUGCAACCAUACUCCCCCCAAACCCAAAUGCUUAGGUUUUCAGGAAGCUACCCAGGAGGAUCAGGAAAUAACACCACUGCAUCUCCAGUUGGCAUUGUUUGUGGUCGGAACUAGGAUGGUAUCUGAUCAUCUUCGAACCUCCGACUUACUUUCUUGAUUAAUGAAAACAUUCUUGGCAAACGCUUUCCCUCUGGUCUGUCUUGCACUGGUCCAAGAAUUUCACAUUUAUUGGCAAAAUAGGAUUGCCCCAAGCACCCCUCUUAAUUAUGACCUCAGUUCCAAAAACCAACAAAAUAGAACC
This 986-nucleotide small RNA is filed under the name Cricetulus griseus (Chinese hamster). RNAcentral's name for it is "18S ribosomal RNA". Lineage: Eukaryota; Metazoa; Chordata; Mammalia; Rodentia; Cricetidae. The record is from RNAcentral.